Molecule: long non-coding RNA, 3086 nt
Filed under: Homo sapiens (human)
Lineage: Eukaryota; Metazoa; Chordata; Mammalia; Primates; Hominidae
Description: non-protein coding lnc-GMDS-4:3
Source: RNAcentral
GGGGGGACACGCCACAGUUCCCCUAGGGGGACACCUGAAGGGACUGGGUCUAGGGGAGCAGGGACUUUGCUCGGGCCUAAGCUGCACGCGGCGUAUGUGCUUCUGUAGUAGUGAAAACGAUGCUGCUUACGAAAGCAAACCCCUGUCGUCACUGCAGAGGUGCUGAACAGAAAUUGCGCAGGACACUUGCAGUGACCUCUUUCGGGAGCCUUGUGCUGUGCCCCUUCCUAUGAGCUCCUUUCAAGGACCAUCUUGUCUUUUCCUCUUGUUUUAAUGAAUGCACUCCUGGGCUUGAAAUUGUAUGCGCCUUUUUGGAUGACCUUUACUCUUGCUCACUAAAUGGGCUCCGACUUUCACUUUUCUUUGUCUUACUUUACCUUUUUCUUUACCUGGCUGGUGACUCCUGCGGGAGGACAGCAGCGUCCUCCUCUUCCCCUGGGGCGGCUGUGUCUGGCGCAGGGUGCUGGGCUGUGCCUGCACUUGUGUCCCUGCGGAAGCCUCAGAUGCCGCCGAGCUCCGCCGCUUGGUUCCCGGGAUCUGACAGUCAACAGGAACGACGGAGAGGGCGUGUUCCCGGGGGCGGGGGCAAGAACAAACCGGUUCACGGCCAUUUCUUUCCAAUAUUCCUUUGGGACUUUUGCUGUGACCUCACUGGCACCAGUGUCGGACAAUCUCGAAAGGGGGGACCGUUCCUCACCCCAGGGCGCCCGGGGCGUGAUCCCCACGCGGCGUCAUUAGUCCAGGGAGCGGGCGCCUCGGCCCCGGGAAGGUGCACUUCCAGCCCGCUGCCCUGCCACGCCGAGUUUCCUCCUUUUUCCUGCCUUUGUUGCACAAAAAGCGACGGAGCCGCUAGUAGGUGGGAGCUCACCUUUGAUGUUUAUUUUAUUACUUUCCACCAUUUGUGUUGAAAACGUACACAAUCCUCUCUUAUCUUUAUUCAGGGAGUUUUGAAGCCAUUCACAAUGGGGCGGGCAACAUGACAGCCCCAGCCACAGCUCUGUUAUUUUUGUAUUUGGGGAAGGAUCGCGUUCGGAGAUUAGACUGACUUUAUUAAGUAUGCGCCUCGGGAGCCAGGUGGGGAAUGGCUGCUUUUUGGGAGAUGAGCCUUUCUGGAGGGGUCUGCUCAGCUCUAGCCUUGGAGUUGAUGGUUCACUAGACCUGGAGAGGGAAGUGGGAUGAGACAAAUAUGUAUAUCUAUAUAUAUAUAGCGAGGUAAAGAGGCUUGGAUUUGGCCAGGGAUAAAAGGCGUUCGUAAUGAAUGUUUUUCUCUCUUGAACUCUGGGGUUGGGCAGGGCAGGAGGGCACAUGACUAUUUGAUGGGGAAGGUAAAGCCAAGGAGGCUUGAGGUGGGACCCGUGGUCGCUACAGAGUCCAAGGGAGGCCUCUUCGAGACUCCAGGGCCAAGGUGUCCUGCCACCAAGGAAUGCUGGUCGCCGCCAGGGAAGGUGGCUCACCCCACCUCCAUGUCCCACUUUCCCCCUUUCUUACCCAACCUCCUCCCCUCCCCAGCUGCAGGGGAUCCUCUCCUUACCCUGAUUUCAUUUGGGGCAAGGGGGGCAAGGACCUGCCCCACCUUUUAUGUCUAUCCUGUGGGCUGCUGUCUGCAAGUUUGGAGCCUGAAAAGGUUGGGGGGCAAGAGAGUGAGUUGGAGGUGGGUGAAUUCUCAGCUGGAAACCCUUUGCUAUUUUUAGAGUGACUUAGGGAAUGGGCAGGUGAGAGGUUGCUUGCAGCCACCUAAGUGGACUUUGAGAAGGAAGAUGGCAUGGCAGGCCGUGGACCACCUGGAUAGGAUUAAAACAAAACAAAAACAAGCAAACAAACAAAAAAAAACCCUACCUCAGCUAGAAUGGAAGCUCCACUAGAGCAGGGUUUUUUUCUUUUUUUCUUCAUGACUGUAUUCCCCUAUCCUUGACACAUGAAUGUGCCAUUUGCUGAGGAUAACAUGAUUGUCUUCUGUUAAAACCAGAAAUAACACUGCUUUUUCCAUUUGUGGUUGAUGUCGGUAUCAAUUUUAGCUGUUGUUUUACAGCGGGGAAAUCAUUCACCUUUUGCAGCUAUCAGAGAAACCGAGAAUGUAUGGAGCAGGGCGUGUCUAUCCACAACACCCUCAAGGCUGAAUACAGUUGGGGAGACCAGACGCUGCCAGACGUCACAUGCAUUUUUUUAAAGUUUCCCAGAAGUGCUUGGAUAUUUCUGCCCCUUAAUUCCCAUUCCUUGGGGAGUACAUUGAUGGGUUAAUAAAAAAUGCCUGCAGGUGGAGCUUGACCAAACACUUGUAGGUAAGAAACACCUAUUAGCUUAUUUUCCCCCUUGCCCUUUAAUUUCCAUGGAGAUAAGUGAAUAAACUAUGGCAAAAGAUAAGUUCAUAUUUCCAUGAUCGUAUGACCUCCCUGAAGUGGUGAUUUUAGGAAGAUAGUGCAUGUAUCUCUGGGCACAAAGUAACUUAAUUAACUGUGGAAACUAUCUGCAAAUUUAACGCUUUCCAUAAUUUGAUAGUGCUUCACUGACCCAGUUCCUAAACACUAAUCUUGGGAAGAAAAUAAUUUAAUUCCUAAAAUACCUAAGGUGACUCCCUGUGGAAAUAUUGAUGACUUGCCCUAUGCAUUAGAAGAUCACGCAGGCUCCCAGCCCAAAGGGACUACAGAACAAUCUUGAUCACAUCCACCCAGCAACCUGGAAACAGCUUUGAAUUUCUUGUCGUGUUAACCUCUGGAUCUGAAGAGAGGGUAAACUUAAAAUUACCUUCCCAUGGGGACCUGGGACUCUGGAUGAAUCUACAGUACAAUGCUGUGAAGAACUGAAGAGCCUCAGGCUUAGAGACCAGGCUAAUGUUGAGAGUCCCAGGGCAAAAUGCAUGGCUCUGAAUCCUUGCAGAGUCUCCCUAGGGGCAUGGAGAGGGCCCUGACUUGGGGCUCGAGGUCAGGUGGCAGUGAAGGGCCUCUACAGCGAUAAAGCCCAGCUGCCUCUUUACCUUUCCUCAUAGUGAAAAUACAUGGGAAGAAAAGGAGUGCUUUGUCCAACUCUGUUCUAGCCCAUUUCAUGGUCUGGUUGAUUCUUUUGGUAGAUGCUGAACACUGGAAAAAUCC